AGCCCUGGUCUUCCCGCUCCUCCGAUCUCCCACGCGAAUCGCCGCCAUGAGCUAACUCCCCACCCCCGGGCAGACCCGGGAGAGCUUUGAUUACCUGGGGUCUUCUGCUUCCUCCCAGACGUCAGCUCCGCUUCAGGAAUCGACUGAGACUUUGGCUCAGAGUUUGGUUCCAUUCUUGGACACGGAUUCAGCUGGAGAGCUGCCCCGGGGCCAGAGCAGUUCGCUGCUGCACACUGGGAUCUGAAUGACAAGCUGACUCGGCACAGAAGUCUCCCAGAGGUGGUUGCAAUGCUAGACUGGGAUCAGAACCAGGCCCUAGCUCGGCCUCUUUGCCUCAAAAGUAAGUUUCUAACUGUAGAUCUAGAUCAGGCUGCAGAUCAUCAGGCAUAUGAAAUACUUGUUCCACCUCUAGAUAGAAAUCAAAAGCAAGGAACUUUACUGUUUCGCCCAAGAACCGGAAGAAAGAUCUAGCUCAGCAUCAAAGGCUUGCCAAGGUUGUUGUUGGAACUCCAUACCGAUUUGUAUCAAAACCUCAGCGUCAGAAACAAACUCUGCAGAAUGGGUAUUUAGAUUCAAGUAUGGAUAUACUGUAUCUGGGCAGCCUGCCUCCAGAACUCCAGGUGAGCUCAGAUGAGCCUCCAGGGCCUCCUGAGCAAGCUGGACUUUCUCAGUUCCAUCUAGAGCCUGAAACUCAAAAUCCAGAAACCACUGAAGAGAUCCAGUCCUCUACUCCAGCAAGAAGCUGCAGCGCAGCUUCCACAGCUCCCUGAGGUGGUAGAACUUUCUUCAACCAAAGCUGGAGGCCCCAGCUCUGCCUUCACAGUCCCUUGAGGGGGUCCACUCUUCAACAGAGCAGAAGGCUCCAGCACAGCAGCUACCUGCCUUUGAAGAGAUCCUAGCCCCACUAUUGAUACAUCAUGAGGAGCAGCAUGAAGCCUGGUUUCCAGUAGAAAGGUGCAAAAA
Molecule: long non-coding RNA, 963 nt
Organism: Homo sapiens (human)
Lineage: Eukaryota; Metazoa; Chordata; Mammalia; Primates; Hominidae
Source: Ensembl